CCCUUAGAUGUUCUGGGCCGCACGCGCGCUACACUGACGAAUGCAACGAGCUUAUAACCUUGGCCGAAAGGUCUGGGUAAUCUCCAAAUUUCGUCGUGAUGGGGAUAGAUUAUUGCAAGUAUUAAUCUUCAACGAGGAAUGCCUAGUAAGCGCAAGUCAUCAGCUUGCGUUGAUUACGUCCCUGCCCUUUGUACACACCGCCCGUCGCUCCUACCGAUUGAAUGGUCCGGUGAAGCGUUCGGACCGUGGCCUUUGGACGGUUCGCCGUCUGUUGGCUGCGGGAAGUUCGUUAAACCUUAUCAUUUAGAGGAAGGAGAAGUCGUANCA
Molecule: ribosomal RNA, 327 nt
Filed under: uncultured eukaryote
Lineage: Eukaryota
Description: partial 18S ribosomal RNA
Rfam family: Eukaryotic small subunit ribosomal RNA
Source: RNAcentral